CGGUCUUUCCAGUCUUCUUGUGGUAAACUGCGAGUUCCACUGAGAGCGCUAUGGGACUCACAGGCACAGGAGGGGUGGGGCCGGUCCACUGCCGCAGAAGGACGGACGGGGAAGAAUGUGCACGCCACAGACCAGCCUGGUACAACCUGAAUAGGCGCAGCUGAAAGGCAAUCAUGGAAUGAUCCCCAGAUCUCAGAGACAGAGUCUCACUGUACCGCCCUCGGGCAGAGUGCCGUGGCGUCACAAGUGGCGUCACACGGCUCACAGCAACCUCCAACUCUUGGGCUUACGCGAUUCUCUUGCCUCAGCCUCCCGAGCAGCUGGGACUACAGGCGCCCGCCACAACGCCCGGCUAUUUUUCUGUUGCAGUUUGGCCGGGGCUGGGCUUGAACCCGCCACCCUCGGCAUAUGGGGCCGGCGCCCUACUCACUGAGCCACAGGCGCCGCCCUUUGUAUCCAUAUGUUAAUCUGAAAAAAUCUGAUCUAGCUAAGGCAUCCACCACCACCACCCUCAUCUGCUUCUCUCCCCAGCACCUGAGGUUGGUGGGAAUGAAGAGCCUUCUCUGUGGGGACAGCCCCAGGAGGAGCAGCAGGGGCCACAGGUGUUGCACCAUCACACCCAGCUACUUUUCCUUUCUUUCUUUCUUUCUUUUUUUUUUUUUGUAGAGCUGGAGUCUUGCUAUGUUGCUCAGGCUGGUCUCAAACUCCUGGCCCCAAGCAAUCCUCAGCCCUCAGCCUCCCAAAGUGCUGGGAUUUCAAGCCCAAGCCACCAUGCCCAGCACUGGUUUUGCUUUCAUUUGUAGAGUAAAUUCUCCUUCCAAGCUGAGCUGCUAACCUUCUUGACCACACUUGGGUGGGUUUUUGUAGUCAUCACCUUCAUUGUCAGGGAAUGAUGGUUUCCCCUAGAAAGGACACCCAAGAAAAGGAGUUUCAGACAUGUCCCCCAGCUCCAGCAAGGCCACGGCUCUGGCAGGACAGCCAAGUCUGCAGGAGGGCAGGGCGGAAAUGGUCCUGCUCUGUGUGUCACCCCCAAUGUUUGUUCAAACCCUCUGAAUAUCUGUGAGCAAAGGGGGUGGCCUGCGUAAUGUGCUGUGUGCAAAGGCUGGAGGCACUGUGAUUCUAGCUCAUCCUUUACAAUCCCACCCCCACCUCUCACAGCGGAGACCCAUCCCAAGCACAGCAGUGCCCUAAACACCUGAAAUAGCCAACAAGGGAACACGGUGUGUCCACAGAUCAUGGACACCAUUUAAUAUGGGAUUCCAAAAACCAUUAAGGUCCCCAAAGGCUUUUGUGUGAUUCUAUUGGCAUGAAUCCUCUGGAGCAGGCCGACUAGUAAGAGAUAGAAAGCAGAUUAGUGGUUUGCCUGGGGGUUAGGGGGUGGUGGGCAGUGACUACUAAUGCGGACAGAGUUUCUCUAAGUGGGAGGACAAUGUUCUGGAAUUAGAUUAUGGUGAUGGUUGACAAUUGGAAAUUUACUGAAAACCAUUGUGUUUUAUACUUUUAACAGGAAAAUUUAUAGUAUAUUAAUUGUAUCUCAUUGUUAAGUAUUUUAAGACUUACAGGGAAAUGUUCUGGAAGUUAUGAAUCAGUAUGUAUAUUUUGAUUUCACCAUUAAAGAAAAUAUA
This is a long non-coding RNA of Nycticebus coucang (slow loris), 1625 nucleotides long. RefSeq lists it as uncharacterized. The transcript is spliced from 3 exons. The record is from RefSeq and is a predicted model, not a curated record. NCBI's taxonomy places the organism in Eukaryota, Metazoa, Chordata, Mammalia, Primates, Lorisidae.